Long non-coding RNA from Poecile atricapillus (Black-capped chickadee), 276 nucleotides. RefSeq lists it as uncharacterized. The transcript is spliced from 3 exons. Lineage: Eukaryota; Metazoa; Chordata; Aves; Passeriformes; Paridae. The record is from RefSeq and is a predicted model, not a curated record.
UAAAGAUGGAGGAGGAAUUUAUAUUUGGUUAGUAGCAAGUGUAAAGGAGAAGGAGAAAACAGGAAAAAGAAGCAGCAUCUGGUGGUGAACAUCUGGGACUAGAUAUUCCAUAGGACCCAUUCCCUGAGGCUGAGAUAUGUGCCAGCUAUCCAGCUGAAUGUGUUUCACCUAAGACGCAGCGCCUGACUCUCUGCUUGUUCUUUGCAUGUCUCUGACUGAGGUAGCUUUUGGUCCACAUGCAUGAACUUAGAAGAGUACUUCUGUUGCUGAGGAAAG